RNAcentral lists this ribosomal RNA (727 nucleotides) under Lactococcus sp. INBio2556P. RNAcentral describes it as "bacterial SSU rRNA". It matches the Rfam family "Bacterial small subunit ribosomal RNA", at positions 45 to 757 of the family's 1533-position model. Lineage: Bacteria; Bacillati; Bacillota; Bacilli; Lactobacillales; Streptococcaceae. The record is from RNAcentral.
UGCCUAAUACAUGCAAGUUGAGCGCUGAAGGUUGGUACUUGCUACCGACUGGAUGAGCAGCGAACGGGUGAGUAACGCGUGGGGAAUCUGCCUUUGAGCGGGGGACAACAUUUGGAAACGAAUGCUAAUACCGCAUAAAAACUUUAAACACAAGUUUUAAGUUUGAAAGAUGCAAUUGCAUCACUCAAAGAUGAUCCCGCGUUGUAUUAGCUAGUUGGUGAGGUAAAGGCUCACCAAGGCGAUGAUACAUAGCCGACCUGAGAGGGUGAUCGGCCACAUUGGGACUGAGACACGGCCCAAACUCCUACGGGAGGCAGCAGUAGGGAAUCUUCGGCAAUGGACGAAAGUCUGACCGAGCAACGCCGCGUGAGUGAAGAAGGUUUUCGGAUCGUAAAACUCUGUUGGUAGAGAAGAACGUUGGUGAGAGUGGAAAGCUCAUCAAGUGACGGUAACUACCCAGAAAGGGACGGCUAACUACGUGCCAGCAGCCGCGGUAAUACGUAGGUCCCGAGCGUUGUCCGGAUUUAUUGGGCGUAAAGCGAGCGCAGGUGGUUUAUUAAGUCUGGUGUAAAAGGCAGUGGCUCAACCAUUGUAUGCAUUGGAAACUGGUAGACUUGAGUGCAGGAGAGGAGAGUGGAAUUCCAUGUGUAGCGGUGAAAUGCGUAGAUAUAUGGAGGAACACCGGUGGCGAAAGCGGCUCUCUGGCCUGUAACUACACUAGGCCAAG